This 440-nucleotide ribosomal RNA is filed under the name uncultured Myxococcales bacterium. RNAcentral describes it as "partial 16S ribosomal RNA". It matches the Rfam family "Bacterial small subunit ribosomal RNA", at positions 338 to 794 of the family's 1533-position model. The record is from RNAcentral. Lineage: Bacteria; Pseudomonadati; Myxococcota; Myxococcia; Myxococcales.
CCUACGGGAGGCAGCAGUGAGGAAUAUUGCGCAAUGGGCGAAAGCCUGACGCAGCGACGCCGCGUGGGUGAUGAAGGCCUUCGGGUCGUAAAGCCCUGUCGGGGGGGACGAAAACUGACGGUACCCCGAAAGGAAGCACCGGCCAACUCCGUGCCAGCAGCCGCGGUAAUACGGAGGGUGCAAGCGUUGUCCGGAUUUACUGGGCGUAAAGGGCAGGUAGGCGGCCUGUUGUGUCGGGUGGGAAAUCCCACGGCUCAACCGUGGAACUGCGCCCGAAACUAACAGGCUUGAGUGCGGGAGGGGGAGGUGGAAUGCCCGGUGUAGGGGUGAAAUCCGUUGAUAUCGGGUAGAAUACCUGUGGCGAAGGCGACCUCCUGGCCCGUUACUGACGCUCAACUGCGAAAGCGUGGGGAGCAAACAGGAUUAGAUACCCCGGUAGU